RNAcentral lists this ribosomal RNA (455 nucleotides) under uncultured organism. Its description in RNAcentral is "bacterial SSU rRNA". It matches the Rfam family "Bacterial small subunit ribosomal RNA", at positions 346 to 794 of the family's 1533-position model. The record is from RNAcentral.
GCGCAGCAGUCGCGAAUUUUUCUCAAUGGGGGCAACCCUGAAGGAGCGACGCCGCGUGGAGGAUGAAGGCUUUCGGGUUGUAAACUCCUGUCAUUUGAGAACAAGUGUAGCCAAGUAACUACUGGCUACUUGAUAGUAUCAGAAGAGGAAGGGACGGCUAACUCUGUGCCAGCAGCCGCAGUAAUACAGAGGUCCCAAGCGUUGUUCGGAUUCAUUGGGCGUAAAGGGUGCGUAGGUGGCGCCGUAAGUGGGGUGUGAAAUUUCGGAGCUUAACUCCGAAACUGCAUUCCAUACUGCGGUGCUUGAGGACUGGAGAGGAGACUGGAAUUCAUGGUGUAGCAGUGAAAUGUGUAGAGAUCAUGAGGAAGACCAGUGGCGAAGGCGGGUCUCUGGACAGUUCCUGACACUGAGGCACGAAGGCCAGGGGAGCGAACGGGAUUAGAUACCCCGGUAGU